Chiroxiphia lanceolata (lance-tailed manakin) is the source of this 272-nucleotide long non-coding RNA. RefSeq lists it as uncharacterized. NCBI's taxonomy places the organism in Eukaryota, Metazoa, Chordata, Aves, Passeriformes, Pipridae. The transcript has 4 exons. The record is from RefSeq and is a predicted model, not a curated record.
UUUCCUUAUCAACCCACUCAAAACUAAUGGGAGCAAGAGAGAACAGAGCAAAGGCUUUGGCAAGGCAGGGUCUUACAACAUCAAACUGUACUGAAGGCAGAUUUCCACAAAGUGCUUGCACAGCACAGAAAGUUUAAGUGUUGGCACCGAGACAGAAAUGGAUGUCUGACCCAAUAGUUCAUUUAUGCUCAUCUGUCACUGAAGAAGAUGGAUGCUGCAGAGGAGUUGAUUAGGCUGUGAUUCAUCAUUCCUCUUUCUAGAGCUCAGUUACA